This 497-nucleotide ribosomal RNA is filed under the name uncultured bacterium. RNAcentral describes it as "partial 16S ribosomal RNA". It matches the Rfam family "Bacterial small subunit ribosomal RNA", at positions 28 to 507 of the family's 1533-position model. The record is from RNAcentral.
GAUGAACGCUGGCGGCGUGCCUAAUACAUGCAAGUAGAACGCUGAAGGAAGGAGCUUGCUCUUUCCGGAUUAGCUGCGGACGGGUGAGUAACGCGUAGGUAACCUGCCUGUUAGCGGGGGAUAACUAUUGGAAACGAUAGCUAAUACCGCAUAACAGUAGAUGCUGCAUGACACCUAUUUGAAAGGGGCAAUUGCUCCACUACCAGAAGGACCUGCGUUGUAUUAGCUAGUUUGUGAAGUAACGGCUCACCAAAGCGACGAUACCUAGCCGGCCCGGAGGGGUGGUCGGCCCCCCUGGGACUGGGGCACCGCCCCAGCCUCCUCCGGGAGCAGCAGUAGGGGAACUUCGGCAAAGGGGCGAAGUCUGACCGAGCAACGCCGCGGGAGGGGAGGAGGGUCUCGGGUCGGUAAGCUCUUUUGUAAGGGAAGGAAGAGUGUGAGAGUGAAAAGUUCACACUGUGACGGUAUCUAACCAGAAAGCGACGGCUAACUACGUG